UCCAGACUCCUACGGGAGGCAGCAGUGAGGAAUAUUGGUCAAUGGGCGGGAGCCUGAACCAGCCAAGCCGCGUGAGGGAAGAAGGUACAGCGUAUCAUAAACCUCUUUUGUCAGGGAGCAAAGGCGGGGACUAGUCCCCGGAUGAGGGUACCUGAAGAAAAAGCAUCGGCUAACUCCGUGCCAGCAGCCGCGGUAAUACGGAGGAUGCGAGCGUUAUCCGGAUUUAUUGGGUUUAAAGGGAGCGUAGGUGGAUUGUUAAGUCAGUUGUGAAAGUUUGCGGCUCAACCGUAAAAUUGCAGUUGAAACUGGCAGUCUUGAGUACAGUAGAGGUGGGCGGAAUUCGUGGUGUAGCGGUGAAAUGCUUAGAUAUCACGAAGAACUCCGAUUGCGAAGGCAGCUCACUGGACUGCAACUGACACUGAGGCUCGAAAGUGUGGGUAUCAAACAGGAUUAGAUACCCGUGUA
RNAcentral lists this ribosomal RNA (465 nucleotides) under uncultured bacterium. RNAcentral's name for it is "bacterial SSU rRNA". It matches the Rfam family "Bacterial small subunit ribosomal RNA", at positions 330 to 792 of the family's 1533-position model. The record is from RNAcentral.